Molecule: ribosomal RNA, 445 nt
Filed under: uncultured bacterium
Lineage: Bacteria
Description: partial 16S ribosomal RNA
Rfam family: Bacterial small subunit ribosomal RNA
Source: RNAcentral
GUGAGGAAUAUUGGUCAAUGGACGAGAGUCUGAACCAGCCAAGUCGCGUGAAGGAAGACGGUUCUAUGAAUUGUAAACUUCUUUUGUGCAGGAAUAAAGUGGGUUACGUGUAACCUUUUGUAUGUACUGUACGAAUAAGGAUCGGCUAACUCCGUGCCAGCAGCCGCGGUAAUACGGAGGAUCCGAGCGUUAUCCGGAUUUAUUGGGUUUAAAGGGUGCGUAGGUGGAUUGAUAAGUCAGCGGUGAAAGUUUGCAGCUUAACUGUAAAAUUGCCGUUGAAACUGUCGGUCUUGAGUGCAAAUGAGGUAGGCGGAAUGUGUUGUGUAGCGGUGAAAUACUUAGAUAUAACACAGAACUCCGAUUGCGAAGGCAGCUUACUGGGAUGCAACUGACACUGAUGCACGAAAGCGUGGGUAUCAAACAGGAUUAGAAACCCGAGUAGUCC